GAAAUUACACCAUAAUAUCAUGAAAUGUCACUUGCGGAAAACUCGAUAACAAUGACUAUAUUCCAAUUAAAUGGUUUGAAAGAGGCUAUUGUUUUAAUUUUAUCCAUGGAUAAUCCAAAUACAGGACCCAUCUUUUUGAGUACUUUUGGCCCAUUUUUGAAUCCGGUCCAGCUUCUUCGGGUCUCACAAUUUCUGUUUCUUCCUCCGGUGAACUCUUCGCCGUCUCAUUUUCCGGCAAAAUUCAGUUGUAAGUUUCCUCUUUUGCCUGUUGAUUCCGAUCUAUACUCUCUCACACACAAAACGAAAUCUCUAUAAUCCUUUUUCGAUGAAUUUCAGCUGUUAUAAUAUCAUUCACUGAAUCGGAUUUACUAUGUGUUGUGUAUUCACCUGCAAUUUUUAUUUUGCUUAAUGAAUCUUAAUUUGUGAGUCUGUGCUACUAUGCUGCGAAAUAAUAGUAACAAUUUUUGUAUGAAGUAAUAAAUGAUGAAUUUUUAAUAAUCAUUUUGUUACUGCUAUUAGUUUUCAGCUAUGUUGCUCAGGACUCUCCAAAACCGAUGCUGCGCCUGUGUUAGAUUCUUCAAAAAUGCACUACUUUUGGAGAAUCCGACUCACAUCCAUAGUCAUUUUUAAAGAGGCAUAGCAACAUAGGUUUCCAACACAUGAGAAAGUUAUAAAUUACAAGUGAAAAAUCCAAAUUGUUCUUGCAUCAGAAUCUACAAUUUCAUUCGUAAUUGCAUCAAAUUUACCUCUUCUUCUAGCUUUGCAUUGUAAAGGACUGGCUUUGCUUUACUUUUUCAGAAGAGUAGUUUUUCACUUUUUUGUCAUGUCUUCUUCACUUCCGUUGUUUUCUUUUCCGAACUGCUUUCAUUUACUUUUCUUGAGCUGAGGAUCUAUUGGAAACAAUCACUCUACCUUCCAAGUUAAGGCUACACUCUUCCCUCCGCAGACUGCACUGAAUUUGUUGUAUAGUAGUUGAUCACUUACUUAAUUGUGCUAAUGUUGGUAAAUAUAUAAUCUUGGUUUUAUGUUUUAAUUUGUUAACUGAUGUUAAACUUAGGACUCUUUAUUACCAAAAGUGAAGUCUGAAAGUGAAUUCAUUUCCUGAAUAACCCAUGUAAUAGUCUUUACCAGGUAUAUGUAGAAGGUAACUUAUGGGUUCAUCCGAACCUAGUAGCUUUGGCUUAGGCCCUUUAUAGAUGUUAAAAGAUCCACUAAAUAAGUAUAAAUAAUAGAUGUUGAACCUAGUGAAUCAAUUGUGUUGUGUCAGAAUACCAAACUCUAACUCAUACUGUUCAAUUGAGGAAUAAGCCUCUAUCCUUAGAUGUAUAUACACCAUAUCCUCGUGUAUUUCUGAUUAAUGACUAAAUGAGUGGUUCCUGCGUGUUAACUAGUUAGAUGCAGAUGUCAUCUUCAAAUAUAUGAAAACACUGCCUUUCAGCUGUAGGAUUCUGCCAGAAUUGAUGUUGAGUUAAUUCAUCAAUGAGUACAUCCCAUAAUUGCUUGUCCUUGUCCUUAUUACUGUAUGCUUGUGCUGGUCCUGUUUGCAGUACAUUCAUGUUUUAUCAGGGAAGAUUUACUUUUGUUUCACAAUUUUGAAAGCACAAAAGGUGAAUGAUCAUUCUUCAUUUAUGUUUCUUUCUAGUUUUCCCUUUCUUCUCUUUAACAUCUUCAACGUUCUAAAACCUUUCACCUUAUUAUUGUGCCCCUUUCUAUUUAUUCAAAAGUUUUCCGUCUCUCCUUUGGGGAUGGCAAAAACAAAAAUAUCAAAAGAUCUCUGCAUCCAUGGAGAACCUAAGGUUCCUAAAAUGAACCAGUGUUUUAGAUUCUCUUUGAUGCAUGAACAACUUGCCAAUACAGCUUCUUAUAGUCAAGGAUCUCAAAUGUGUCAUGAAAGAAAUUACAUUCCCCAUCUGCGCGUCUUCUGUAAAAUGUGUCGGUAGUCAGUCCUGAAUUGUUAUGGUCAAGAUUAUUUGGCACCAUGGAUCUGGCCUGCAUGCGAUACUUACCUUAAACAUUGUAUGAACCUGUGCGUAGGAUGCAGUGGGACUUUUGUGGAGGAUAAAUAAGAAAGGUCCUAGGAGUUCUGCCUUAUUGAUCCUGUUCUAGCACGUUAUCGAUUAUAUUCCAAGGUCAAAUAACAGAUAUAGGGAUGUGUUUUUGGCUUAAUUUUGUGAUGCUAAAUGGACGAUCUUGAUAAUGUGUUGCUAUUAAAGAAGGGAUUACUUAAAACUUUAGUGUUAGGUUCAUUAUGUAAAUAAUUGUAAUUAAGAGGACUAUCCAUCAAAGAAGUUGUUAAAGUAGUUAGAAGAUUGUUAGAGUAGUUAGAAUAAAUUCAAUUUGUUAUUCUUGUAUAUAUAGUUGAAUGUACAGGUUACAAAUACACUUUGAGAAAGAACACAAAAAUCACACGAAUCCUUCCUCUAUACUGCUUCUUCUUCCUUGUUCUUCUCUGUUUCUUUUCUUCAUCUUCUUCUCUACUGUAGCUUUAUGAUCAUGCAUGAUUAACAUGCAUCAGCUACAAGAAGAUUAACAUGGUAUCAGAGCCAGCACAGUAGAGCUUCAAGAUCUCAGCCAAAACCAUGGCAAUUGUCGAUAAUGAGUUGCCUGAGAAGCUGAGCCAUAAUCAUCCUUUGUUCUUACAUUCAAUAGAUAAUUCAGGCGUAUUACUUAGUUCAAUUCAACUAACUGGAGCUGAUAAUUUUUCAGUAUGGAGUCGAGCUAUGAAAAUUGCAAUUAUAGGUCGCAAUAAACUUGGAUUCAUUGAUGGAUCAUGUAGAAAAGAAUUAUAUGGUCCUAACUUGACAAAUCUGUGGGAAAGAUGUAAUGCUAUAGUGCUGUCGUGGAUUAUGAAUUGUGUUUUGAAGGAGUUACUUGGAGGUAUUGUUUAUUCUACCAAUGCAGCAGCUGUGUGGAAGGAUCUAUGUGAAAGAUAUGACAAGAUUGAUGGAUCACGUAUCUUUCAACUACACAAAGAGAUUGCUACUGUUAGCCAAGGUACAAGCUCGAUCUCAAGCUAUUUCUCUAAGCUACGUGAGUUGUGGGUAGAGUAUGAUAGUUUGGCACCUGUUCCUGGGUGUGAUUGUGUGAAUUCAAGAGAAUUUGUAGUGUUCAUGCACAAUCAGAAGUUACUGCAGUUUCUCAUGGGAUUAAAUGACUCAUAUGAGCAAGCUAGAAGCCAAAUACUAAUGAUGGUACCUUUGCCUACUAUAAAUAAGGCAUACUCACUGCUUAUUGAAAGAGAAAGCCAACGUAUCAUGUCACAAACUUCUCACAGUUCAAGUUCAUCUGAUCUAAAUGCCUUGUUUACUGCUCAAUCAUCAAUUCCCAAACCAAGGUUUAAUACUAGUUCAAGCUAUGAUCCAAAUGCAUUUUGUGAGUACUGUAAAAGAACAUGACACAUGCAAGCUGUGUGUUAUAAGCUUCAUGGAUAUCCACCUGGUUAUGAAAGAAAGAAGAGAGGUUCUACUGGUCCUACUUACAAUGGUCAAGGGAGAGGAAGAUCAAGUAAUGAUAGGAGAUCAUAUCCAUCUGCUAACAAUGCAAUUAGUGACACUGAUCAUUCUGAUUUUAAUAGAGUUGAGAAUCCAAGAAAUCAAGGUUGUGGUAGAGGUGAUAGUCAAGCUGAUUCUGUUGAUUAUCACAAAGGAUUGAAUGCAUUGCAGGAACAAUAUAAUCAAAUAUUGCAGAUGCUUGGCCAAUCAAAUAGGCAGAACACCACUGAAAGAGACUCAAAUUCACAUUCCAGUGCAAAUCUAGCUCAAGAGAACUAUCCUUCAUCAGGUAAUGUCACUGCUCUUUCAGCUAGUAUAGCACAUACAGGAUGGAUUAUAGACUCUGGUGCAACAAAUCAUAUGACUCCUCACUCACAAUUAUUGAUUAACAAACAUCCAUUGCCUAGUGAUGCACCUAGAAGUGUACAACUACCAAAUGGAGAUAGUACAUUGAUCACACAUACAGGUUCUAGUAGUAUGACCUCACGAGACAUUAUCAAUAAUGUUCUUCUUAUUCCUGACUUUAAGUUCAGUCUAUUGUCAGUCUCAAAAAUUACAAAGGAUCUACAGUGUGCAGUAUGUUUCUAUCCUGACUUUGUGACUACUCAGGAUCUCUCCAGUGGGCAGGUGAAGGUGAUUGGUAGAGAACAGGCUGGACUUUAUCUCAUUCCUCAUCCUUCAUCUCCUGCAGCUAGUACUCAAGCAUACUCUCAUUUGGUUCAUGAUGGUUUAUCAAGUUCACAAACUGUUCUAUGGCACCAAAGACUAGGUCAUACUUCAUCUAAUGUUUUAGCUAAAACUCUCAAUCUUCCAGUUACACAGUGCUCAGAUGAGGUUCACAACUGUACCAUAUGUCCUCUAGCUAAACAACCAAGACUUCCUUUUCCAAAUAGCUCUACUAUAUCUUCUAGUCCAUUCCAGUUUUUACAUAUAGAUGUUUGGGGUCCAUUUCAUACUCCUACAUAUGAUGGCAAUAGAUUCUUUGUCACUAUAAUGGAUGAUUGUACUAGAAUGUUGUGGCUGUUUCUAAUAAAGUUGAAGAGUGAUGUUUGUGUUGUAUUGAAAAUUUUCUUUACUCUAGUCAAAACUCAAUUCAACUUAUUAGUUAAAAGCAUUCGUACUGAUAAUGGUUCUGAGUUUGUUAACACUGAGUGUACACAUUUGUAUACAAGCUUGGGUAUUGUUCAUCAAAGAACCUGCAUACACACUCCUCAACAGAAUGGUAUAGCUGAAAGAAAACACAGACACAUACUUGAGGUAGCUAGAGCCAUCAGAUUCCAAGGAAAUAUUCCUAUCAAAUUUUGGGGGCACUGCAUUCUUAAUGCUGCAUAUAUUGUAAACAGAUUGCCUACAUCUGUUUUGCAUGGUAAAUCUCCAUUCGAAAUGUUUCACAAGUGUAAACCUUCCCUACAGCAUAUGAGGGUGAUAGGUUGUCUAUGUUUUGCUAAAAACAUGCACAUUAAGGACAAAUUUCAUUCUAGGAGUGUCAUUGCUGUACACAUGGGCUAUAGUGCUCAUACAAAGGGAUAUAUGUUAUACAACAUCAAGGACAAAACAUUCUUCAUUAGCAGAGAUGUACUAUUCAGAGAAACUAUAUUUCCAUUUGCUUCUCCUUCAUCUACUGCAUGGCAAGUGUUCCCUAAGGUUGAUGAAUCUUUAGAGAUUGCACCUUUGUUCCAGCCUACUCCUACCACAGUUGUAAAUACUGAGUUAGUUCCAGCUCAAGAUACUUCUUCUAUAAGAAGAUCACAAAGAAGUACCAAAGCUCCUUUAUGGCUACAGGAUUAUGUUGCAUCUACUCAGCUUCAAUCCAAUAAACCUCUGUAUUCCAUUGAUAAGUACAUUGGCUAUGACAACUUGUCUUCUUCUUAUCGAGCCUUCCUUACUUCAUUUGGUACUGAAGUUGAACCUACUUCUUUUGAGGAAGCCUGUAAGGAUCCAAGGUGGGUUGAAGCAAUGCAAGCUGAAAUAUCAGCUUUGGAGUCCAAUCAAACAUGGCAGGUGGUUCCCUUACCUACUAACAAGAAAGCUAUUGGGUGCAAGUGGAUUUUUAAAAUCAAGUAUCAUGCCUCUGGUGAGAUUGACAGGUUUAAGGCACGUCUAGUGGCAAAAGGAUUUAAUCAAAGAGAAGGGCUGGAUUAUCAGGAAACCUUUUCUCCAGUUGUGAAAAUGGUGACUGUUAGGAGUGUACUGUCCUUAGCUGCAAAAGAACAUUGGCAUGUUCAUCAGAUGGAUGUGUCUAAUGCAUUCCUUCAGGGAGAUUUACAUGAUGAAGUCUAUAUGGUACUUCCUUUUGGCUUUAAGCCUCCAAAGGGCUUUAGUGUGCAGGGGGAGAAACCAGUGUGUAGGCUCACUAAAUCCCUAUAUGGAUUAAAACAAGCACCUAGGCAAUGGAAUGAAAAACUCACUGAAGUUCUUGUCAAAUUGGGAGUUGUACAAAGUCAUCUUGAUUACUCAUUAUUCAUCAAGAAAACUAGUACAUCUCUGGUUAUACUUUUAGUAUAUGUAGAUGACUUGAUCAUCACUGGAAGUGAUAUCAAUCUCAUUCAACAAAAAGCACUUUACAAGAAAACUUCAAAAUGAAAGAUCUAGGGAAUCUCAGGUAUUUCCUUGGAAUUGAGUUUGCAAGAUCACAAGAGGGCAUUGUAAUGCAUCAAAGGAAAUAUUCUUUGGAGAUCAUAUCUGAGGCAGGUCUUAGUGCAGCAAAACCUGCUGCUACUCCAUUGGAUCCUUAUGUACAGUUAACUACUAAAGAUAUGAUGAAAUAAAUGGAACAAACAGAGAUGAUAAAUUGUUGACAGAGCCAACAGUGUACAGAAGAUUAGUCUAAAUGUCACUAGACCAGACAUAUUGCAUUUGCUACACAGACUCUAAGUCAAUUUCUACAUCAGCCCAAACAAUCUCAUCUAAAUGCUGCCCUCAAGGUAGUAAGAUAUGUCAAAAGGCAAGCUAGAUUGGGUGUUCUAUUAUCAAGUGCAAAGAGCAAAGAACUUCAAGUUUACUGUGAUUCAGACUUGGGUAGCUGUCUACAUACAAGGAGGUCAGUUACAGGUUUCAUGGUAAAGUUGGGAGGCUCACUAAUAUCAUGGAAGUCUAAGAAGCAAGCAACCAUUUCUAGAAGCUCAACUGAAGCUGAGUACAGAAGUAUGGCAAGUGCAGUGGCUGAAGUUGUGUGGUUAGUGAAGCUAUUCAAAGAACUUGGAGUUGAAGUACACACUCCAGUAACUAUAUACAGUGACAGCAAGUCAGCUAUUCAAAUAGCUGCUAAUCCUGUGCUACAUGAAAGGACAAAGCAUAUAGAGUUGGACUGUCAUUUUAUAAGAGAGAAGAUACAGAAUGGAUUAGUGCAAACUCAAUACUUGAACACCAAAGAACAAGAAGUAGACAUGCUAACAAAAGGCUUGGGAAAAACUCAACAUGAAUAUCUCCUAUCCAAGUUUGGUGUAUUGAACCUAUUCAUACCUACAAACUUGAGGGGGAGUAUUAAAGAAGGGAUUACUUAAAGCUUUAGUGUUAGGUUCAUUAUGUAAAUAAUUGUAAUUAAGAGGACUAUCCAUCAAAGAAGUUGUUAAAGUAGUUAGAAGAUUGUUAGAGUAGUUAGAAUAAAUUCAAUUUGUUAUUCUUGUAUAUAUAGUUGAAUGUACAGGUUACAAAUACACUGAGAAAAUACACAAGGAUCACACGAAUCCUUCCUCUAUACUGCUUCUUCUUCCUUGUUCUUCUCUGUUUCUUUUCUUCAUCUUCUUCUCUACUGUAGCUUUAUGAUCAUGCAUGAUUAACAUGCAUCAGCUACAAGAAGAUUAACAGUUGCCCUCUUCUGACUUUUUCCGUGUGGAACUGAUCAUAUUAUAUUAAUCAUAACAGUUGCUGCAGGCAAAAAGACAUGGCAUUGAUCUACCUCAGAUCAUUGAGAAGCAUGAACAAUUCCCAAAGAGUUGAUUCAAAUGGGAGGCUGCAGAACAUUUGCUGCUGGCAGUAAAUCAAAGAAGGGUGGUAAAGGGGGUGCAGCUGCC
RNAcentral lists this long non-coding RNA (7504 nucleotides) under Solanum lycopersicum (tomato). Its description in RNAcentral is "long non-coding RNA (SLYC_LNC000003)". Lineage: Eukaryota; Viridiplantae; Streptophyta; Magnoliopsida; Solanales; Solanaceae. The record is from RNAcentral.